Molecule: ribosomal RNA, 253 nt
Filed under: uncultured bacterium
Lineage: Bacteria
Description: partial 16S ribosomal RNA
Rfam family: Bacterial small subunit ribosomal RNA
Source: RNAcentral
UACGUAGGUGGCAAGCGUUAUCCGGAUUUAUUGGGCGUAAAGGGAACGCAGGCGGUCUUUUAAGUCUGAUGUGAAAGCCUUCGGCUUAACCGGAGUAGUGCAUUGGAAACUGGGAGACUUGAGUGCAGAAGAGGAGAGUGGAACUCCGUGUGUAGCGGUGAAAUGCGUAGAUAUAUGGAAGAACACCAGUGGCGAAAGCGGCUCUCUGGUCUGUAACUGACGCUGAGGUUCGAAAGCGUGGGUAGCAAACAGG